UUCCUAUGUGACAGUAGUAGUGAGUAC
RNAcentral lists this small RNA (27 nucleotides) under Bombyx mori (domestic silkworm). RNAcentral describes it as "ovarian small RNA-37283". The record is from RNAcentral. Lineage: Eukaryota; Metazoa; Arthropoda; Insecta; Lepidoptera; Bombycidae.